AGAGUUUGAUUCUGGCUCAGGAUGAACGCUGGCGGCGUGCCUAACACAUGCAAGUCGAGCGAUUCUCUUCGGAGAAGAGCGGCGGACGGGUGAGUAACGCGUGGGUAACCUGCCUCAUACACAUGGAUAACAUACCGAAAGGUAUGCUAAUACAGGAUAAUAUAAGAGAUUCACAUGGAUUUCUUAUCAAAGCUCCGGCGGUAUGAGAUGGACCCGCGUCUGAUUAGCUAGUUGGUAAGGUAACGGCUUACCAAGGCGACGAUCAGUAGCCGACCUGAGAGGGUGAUCGGCCACAUUGGAACUGAGACACGGUCCAAACUCCUACGGGAGGCAGCAGUGGGGAAUAUUGCACAAUGGGCGAAAGCCUGAUGCAGCAACGCCGCGUGAGUGAUGAAGGCCUUCGGGUACGUAAAACUCUGUCCUCAAGGAAGAUAAUGACGGUACUCGAGGAGGAACGCCCGGCUAACUACGUGCCAGCCGCCGC
RNAcentral lists this ribosomal RNA (484 nucleotides) under uncultured bacterium. RNAcentral describes it as "bacterial SSU rRNA". It matches the Rfam family "Bacterial small subunit ribosomal RNA", at positions 8 to 518 of the family's 1533-position model. The record is from RNAcentral.